UCUUUUAAUUGAAGGCUGGUAUGAAUGGUUGGACGAGACAUUAACUGUUUCAUAAUAAUUUUAUAUAGAAUUUAAUUUUUUAGUUAAAAAGCUAAAAUUUAUUUAAAAGACGAGAAGACCCUAUAAAUCUUUAUAUUAUAAUUAUUAAUAUAAUUUAGAUUUUUUUUGUUAUAAUAAAUGGUAAUAUUUUAUUGGGGUGAUAUUAAAAUUUAAAGAACUUUUAAUUUUAUUUAUCAUUAAUUUAUGAUUUAAUGAUCCACUUUUUGUGAUUAAAAAUAUAAGUUACUUUAGGGAUAACAGCGUAAUUUUUUUGGAGAGUUCUUAUCAAUAAAAAAGAUUGC
This 341-nucleotide ribosomal RNA is filed under the name Peleteria varia. Its description in RNAcentral is "partial 16S ribosomal RNA". The record is from RNAcentral. Lineage: Eukaryota; Metazoa; Arthropoda; Insecta; Diptera; Tachinidae.